Molecule: ribosomal RNA, 497 nt
Filed under: uncultured bacterium
Lineage: Bacteria
Description: partial 16S ribosomal RNA
Rfam family: Bacterial small subunit ribosomal RNA
Source: RNAcentral
GAUGAACGCUGGCGGCGUGCCUAAUACAUGCAAGUCGAGCGAACAGACGAGGAGCUUGCUCCUUUGACGUUAGCGGCGGACGGGUGAGCAACACGUAGGUAACCUACCUAUAAGACUGGGAUAACUUCGGGAAACCGGAGCUAAUACCGGAUAAUAUUUCGAACCGCAUGGUUCGGUAGUGAAAGAUGGCUUUGCUAUCACUUAUAGAUGGACCUGCGCCGUAUUAGCUAGUUGGUAAGGUAACGGCUUACCAAGGCAACGAUACGUAGCCGACCUGAGAGGGUGAUCGGCCACACUGGAACUGAGACACGGUCCAGACUCCUACGGGAGGCAGCAGUAGGGAAUCUUCCGCAAUGGGCGAAAGCCUGACGGAGCAACGCCGCGUGAGUGAUGAAGGUCUUCGGAUCGUAAAACUCUGUUAUUAGGGAAGAACAAACGUGUAAGUAACUGUGCACGUCUUGACGGUACCUAAUCAGAAAGCCACGGCUAACUACGUG